This 168-nucleotide ribosomal RNA is filed under the name Gymnopus sp. Its description in RNAcentral is "partial large subunit ribosomal RNA". It matches the Rfam family "Eukaryotic large subunit ribosomal RNA", at positions 99 to 261 of the family's 3401-position model. The record is from RNAcentral. Lineage: Eukaryota; Fungi; Basidiomycota; Agaricomycetes; Agaricales; Omphalotaceae.
AGGGAAAAGCUCAAAUUUAAAAUCUGGCAGUCUUUGAUUGUCCGAGUUGUAAUUUAGAGAAGUGUUACCCGAGUUGGACCGUGUACAAGUUUCCUGGAAUGGAACGUCAUAGAGGGUGAGAAUCCCGUCUUUGACACGGAUCCCAGUUCAUUGUGGUAUACUUUCAAA